UCUCUCUCUCUCUCUCUCUCUCUCUCUCUCUCUCUCUCUCUCUCUCUCGCCCUGAAGCUGACAGAGGGAGAGGGGUGGAGAGGACGAGGCGAGGAUCUCCUCAACUAAACCACCAGAAUGAAGAAAGAGGAGGAGGAGGAACGCACUGCAGCGAGAAAACCUGCUCCUCUCUCUCUCUCUCUCUCUCUCUCUCUCCCACCCUUCCUCAUCUUCAUCCCUUCUUCUUGCCAAUGACACCAUGAACCCGUCCGCCGCUUGUUGCUAAGGAGGGAGCCAAGCCGGCGGAAAGGAGCGCAGCGGACAGGGCCGGCCGCUCUUUGCUUUCUAAGGUCUGAGUGAAGAUGGCCGAGGGCUCCAAAGAGCGAGUCGGCGUGGGCCUCGCGGAUCCAGAUGAGGACUCUCCAAACAUGAUUGUCUACAGAAAGAUUGAGAACAUCGUCUCAAGAAUACAAGAUGAGAAAGCGGGAGGUGUCGCCAUCCGUACUGUCAAAAGCUUCCUGUCCAAAAUCCCCAGUGUGGUAUCAGGGGUGGACAUUGUUCAAUGGCUGAUGAAAAACCUCUCUAUAGACGAUCCAGCUGAGGCCAUCCACUUGGGGAGUCUGAUUGCUGCUCACGGCUACAUCUUCCCCAUCUCUGACCACGUCCUGGCGCUCAAAGAUGACGGCACCCUUUACCGCUUUCAGUCUCCGUACUACUGGCCUUCAAACUGCUGGGAGCCUGAGAACACGGACUAUGCCAUCUACCUGUGCAAGCGCACCAUGCAGAACAAAGCCAGGCUGGAGCUCGCCGAUUAUGAGUCUGAGAACCUUGCCCGACUGCAGCGGACUUUUGCCAGGAAGUGGGAGUUCAUCUACUUGCAGGCCGAAGCUCAAGUCAAAAUUGACAAAAAGAAGGACAAGGCAGACAGGAAGGUCCUGGAUAGCCAAGAGAGGGCCUUCUGGGAUGUUCAUCGACCAGUGCCAGGCUGCGUCAACACCACCGAGAUGGACAUCCGCAAGUGUCGCAGAGAAAAGAACCCACACAGGGUGAAAAGGUCAGUUUACGGGGUGCCAGAUGACAGCCAGAGCCAGCCAUGUCCAGUCCCCAUCAGCUCUACGCCAGCCAGAAAGCUCACCCAAGAGGACGUUGAGAAGGAGAUUGGCUUCCUCAACCUCCAGCUUGGCCGCCAUUGCAUGAAAGUUUCCAAAGUAGCCGAGAGUCUCAUGGGCUACACCGAGCAAUUCAUGGAGUACGACCCGCUUGUAUCGGCCGUUGAGCCCUCCAACCCUUGGAUCAGUGACGACACCACCUUCUGGGACCUGGAGGCAAGACACGACCCCACCCAGCAGCGAGUGAAGAAGUGGGGCUUCUCCUUGGAGGAAGCGCUCAAAGACCCAGCAGGAAGAGAUCAGUUCCUGAAGUUCCUGGAGACUGAAUUUAGCUCGGAGAAUUUGCGAUUUUGGUUGGCAGUGCAGGAUCUGAAGCGUCAGCCGUUGCAGAAUGUCCCCGCUAGAGCGCAGGAGAUCUGGCAGGAGUUUCUAGCCGAGGGGGCGCCAAGCUCUAUCAACCUGGACUCUCACAGCUUUGAGCGCACCAGCCAAAACCUGAAAGACCCCGGGCGCUACAGCUUUGAGGAUGCUCAGGAGCACAUAUUCACACUCAUGAAAAGUGACAGCUAUGCACGCUUUUUGCGAUCCGGAAUCUACCAAGACCUCCAGUUUGCCAGAAAGAAGAACACACGUGUAGUGUAAUGUGGAUCUUUCUAGCAAAUCACUACUUGUGUUCACGCCAGCCUUUCUGUCCCUUGAUGUUACAACACUGCUCCUGCCACUGCCCACCACCACCCACCAUCCAAACCUCCAUGUUUGUGUCCUCGACCCCUCAUUUGUGUACCUCCUUGAUCAUUUUUCUCCCCGACUCAUAACAUCACCGCCCACCUCAUCGCCUCCUGUACCCAACCAUGCCCCCCCCCCCAUAGCAACAACCUGCAGACCCUGAACAAGGCCGCCGCACCUCCUUGGAGAAGUUCACGCGCAGUGUGGGCAAGUCAUUGACUGGCAAACGUCUAUCAGGGUUAAUGCAGUCAUCCUGACACACUCUGUUGUGGGGGGCACUUUGAGCUCCUUAAUGGGGGGGGGGCAACGACACGGGACUGGGCUGGUCGUCAGAACUCAAACGCCGCCACUAUACGACUCACGCGGCACUGGACCUACUGGGAUGGGAUCCAAGGCCAGACUCGGUGACUGGAAAUGAGCGCUCACAGGAGGGGAAGUACCACGUGACACUACAACGAAGCCUCUUUAAACAACGGGUUAUUUGGUGGAUAAGCGGAUACGUUUAUAUUUUGUAUUGAUGUACACGGUGUAUGUGUGUCCUAUUAAAAGCACAUUUGGAAAAUGAAUACAAAAAGCUUUUUUUUUUUUUUUUUGCAGGGGGGGCAGAAAUUUAACACAGAUCCAUUGAUUUACAGCAAUAAAGGCCUUGUGAGACUUGA
RNA transcript from Hippocampus zosterae (dwarf seahorse), 2473 nucleotides. It is a transcript of the gene named regulator of G-protein signaling 6-like, with no coding region annotated. The transcript is spliced from 17 exons. The record is from RefSeq and is a predicted model, not a curated record. Lineage: Eukaryota; Metazoa; Chordata; Actinopteri; Syngnathiformes; Syngnathidae.